CGCGAAGUCCAGUGGGAGAGCAGGAUUUGACUAAGGCCACUUGGAGAAUUUUCCUGCAGAAGUGAUUUACAAAGAGCGAGGUUUGCUUACAUAUAGGCACCUUUAACUAAAGUGAAAAACCCAAUGGAUCGCUAAAGACAAGAGCAACCAUGUAGGUCAAAGCAGGUGUGCUGCAGCAGCUGCAUAUAAAGGGCUUCAUUUUCCAGCAUCUUUGAGUCUUGCUCUUUCAUCCAGCCUGGAGUGCAAUGAUGUGAUCUCAGCUAACUACAACCUCCACCUCCCGGGUUCAAGCAAUUCUCCCACCUCAGCCUUCAGAGUAGCUGGGAUUAUAGGCAAGCGCCACCACGUCUGGCUAAUUUUUGUAUUUUUGUAGAGAUAAGGUUUUACCAUGUUGGCCAGGCUGGUCUUGAUGCGCCCGGCCUAAGAUUGAUUGGUUGUUAGUAACUUUACUGAUUCUGUUUUAAAUUGUCACCAACUAGCCCCCACAAAUGCACAUUUGGCUUUUUUGGCUUCUUUUUUUUUUUUCUUUUAUACUGAGUCUCACUCUUGUCACCAAGGCUAGAAUGCAGUGGUGCGAUCUCAGCUCGCUGCAACCUCCGCCUCCUGGGUUCAAGGGAUUCUCCUGCCUCAGCUUCCUCAGUAGCUGGGAUUGCAGGCAUCUGCCAUCACACCCAGCUAAUUUUUGUGCUUUUAGUAGAGACAGGGUUUUAC
Molecule: long non-coding RNA, 711 nt
Filed under: Homo sapiens (human)
Lineage: Eukaryota; Metazoa; Chordata; Mammalia; Primates; Hominidae
Description: HSALNT0092976
Source: RNAcentral